GGGCAGGGGAGCCGCGCUGUGACCGCGGGGCAGGCCUCACCGAGGACGCCGAGGGAGGUGGAGGAGGAGGCCGGGCUCGCGGGCGUGUGAGAGCUGCCGGACGCCUCGGUGGGUGAGAAGAAUAACCCGGACUCGUCUUCGCCUCUGCUGGGCGGGUUCUCUGCUGACUGUACGAGUGACAUUGGACAGAGACAUGGCUUCCAGAACCCUGCAGGGAGAGCCCGCGCUGCAGCCGCUCCCAAGUCCGUCCUGGCCGCUGUUUACCUGGAAUCAUCCCGUGGGUCCCGCCAAGCAGAUGUUAGAGAUCUUCUCCUGGAACCACAGGCCGGGCCCACAUGGCCGGCAGACGCCCACCCCACUCCCGAGAGGACCUUGUUUAACCAGGGUCCCCAUGCGCUGCGUCUGCAAGAAGCCUGCCCAACUGCGGACUUGGCGGCCAUCCCAAGAGGGCUGUCACUGAAACUGACCACAGUGGGCGAAGGGCUCUGGGGGAAGAUCUCAACAGUGGGACCGCUGGCCUCAAGGCAAAACUCAAGGCCAUCAGCUGUUUGGGUAAAAUGCAAUGAUGUCCAUGAAAUUGUCAUUAAACUCUUGCUUGCGUGAAUAAUUGAGCAUGAGAUCCACGUGCACUGACUUCCUGGGGCCUGCUCAGGAGGGAGGCUGGGGCGACCUGGGCUUCAGGUGCCGGGCUCUGAGGGAGUCCGCAAACGCCCAGGGACCGAGGGGCCAAAGCAGGUCUGCACACUUGCCAGGCCCAGGAGCUGCUCCUUUAUCUCUUCUCAGGGAAGGCAUUUUCUGCCCAUUUCCUGCUCUGCCUGGCCCAGCAGGAAGGGCGCGGUGAGAGGAGCAGAUGGGAGGAAGAGACAGAAAAGCAAGAGGCCUUGAGGGUUGGAGUUGAAGUCCCGCUAAACCCAAGGUACACGUCAUGAUUCUGCAGCUUGCUAGCUGUGUGACCUUUAGCAAUUCACUGUACCUCUCUGAGCUUCAAUUUCCUUAUCUGAAAAAUAAGGACCGUAACUCUCAUCUUUUCAGAAAUGUUGAUCAAUUUCUCCAGGUCCGUCCCUCCCUGCCCAGCCCACAGCCCUGAUAAGUUCUCUCCCCCCUCCCACCAUCACCACCAACCCUCAGCUUAUUAGCAGCAUUGAGGUGGACACCUGGUCCACACUGGACAAAUAUCAGAUUUUCCCUCCCAGGAGUCUCGGUUUGGAACAUGGAGACAGUCAUUAAGCUGUGGAAGCCAGCUGGAAGAGCACGUGGCUCAGGGAUGGAGGCCGCCAUUUUGGCAUGGCCUUGGUGGAUGGGAAGUGAGCAGAAAGCCGGCUACAGCAGGAGGGAAAAAGAUGGGUAGAGGGAGCUAGAGAUGAGUCAGACUGCAGAUCCAGUCAGAGACAGAGGCAGACACAGAGACAGGGAGGGGCCCUGUCAGGUGACCCAAGACCCAGGACAUUGGCUG
RNAcentral lists this long non-coding RNA (1453 nucleotides) under Equus caballus (horse). RNAcentral describes it as "lncRNA (ENSECAG00000037714.3)". Lineage: Eukaryota; Metazoa; Chordata; Mammalia; Perissodactyla; Equidae. The record is from RNAcentral.